AUAGCCUCAGUAACGGCGAGUGAAGCGGCUACAGCUCAAAUUUGAAAUCUGGCCUCCUUUGGGGGUCCGAGUUGUAAUUUGCAGAGGAUGCUUUGGCAUUGGCGGCGGUCUAAGUUCCUUGGAACAGGACAUCGCAGAGGGUGAGAAUCCCGUACGUGGGCGCCUGCCUUUGCCGUGUAAAGCUCCUUCGACGAGUCGAGUUGUUUGGGAAUGCAGCUCUAAAUGGGAGGUAAAUUUCUCCUAAAGCUAAAUACCGGCCAGAGACCGAUAGCGCACAAGUAGAGUGAUCGAAAGAUGAAAAGUACUUUGGAAAGAGAGUCAAAUAGCACGUGAAAUUGUUGAAAGGGAAGCGCUUGCAGCCAGACUUGCCCGCAGUUGCUCACCUAGGCUUUCGCCUGGGGCACUCUUCUGCGGGCAGGCCAGCAUCAGUUUGGGCGGUCGGAUAAAGGCCUCUGUCAUGUACCACCCCUCGGGGUGGCCUUAUAGGGGAGGCGUAAUGCGACCAGCCCGGACUGAGGUCCGCGCAUCUGCUAGGAUGCUGGCGUAAUGGCUGUAAGCGGCCCGUCUUGAAACACGGACCAAGGAGUCUAACAUCUAUGCGAGUGUUUGGGUGUCAAGCCCGGGCGCGCAAUGAAAGUGAACGGAGGUGGGAACCCUUCGGGGUGCACCAUCGACCGAUCCUGAAGUCUUCGGAUGGAUUUGAGUAAGAGCAUAGCUGUUGGGACCCGAAAGAUGGUGAACUAUGCUUGAAUAGGGUGAAGCCAGAGGAAACUCUGGUGGAGGCUCGCAGCGGUUCUGACGUGCAAAUCGAUCGUCAAAUUUGGGCAUAGGGGCGAAAGACUAAUC
Molecule: ribosomal RNA, 846 nt
Filed under: Pseudopithomyces chartarum
Lineage: Eukaryota; Fungi; Ascomycota; Dothideomycetes; Pleosporales; Didymosphaeriaceae
Description: partial large subunit ribosomal RNA
Rfam family: Eukaryotic large subunit ribosomal RNA
Source: RNAcentral